UAGAAUGAAUGUUUACAGCAAAACAAAGUGCAAUGCACAUUACUAUUAUACGAGGUAGAACAUGAAAGUUAAUUGAUUCACUGCAUUAAUAUUAAUAUUUGUUUUAAUGUGCAGUUUAUUAACUUUCGGUUGUACACCAUAUGAGUUAUUUUCCGCUCAUUAAUUGAAAAUAUUUUAUUUGGUUGUGGCUUUAAGGUACCAGCUUCUCAUGAGCUCAGCCUCUAUGGAGCCAUCCAUGAUGAGGUCUCCAAACCCUUGUAUGUUAUUUGGGAUCGUGGCUGGUUGUGUUUCCUUUCAUUGCUUAUUUUUACUAGUAUUAAUGUUCUUUUCUUUGAACUUGUUGAAAGUAUGAAUGAUCAGUUACACAUUGGAUUAAAAAAUAGGCGAGACAAGUGAUUUAUGAGAGAAAUCCGCAUAUUUACUCGUACUAUCAGGACUUCCUUACACGACAAGGAAAUGGAAAUCUUGAGAAAGAAAAAUGAAAUUAAAUUUUAUUUUCAUCACUUCUGUAUAGUUCAGUUUGCUGUAAGCAAAAACAAAUAUGUUAGGGACACAAACCAGUUUUGCUGUAAAUGCAUUAUACCGACACUAUAUUAUUAUAGGGAAGUAGUAAGUUAGUAACAAUAAAUAACAAUAUUGAGCUCAAUGAGCCAGAUAAUUUAAAUGCGUACAAUCAAAAUUUCUUAACGAUGUUAGUCAUCGAGCCUGAAAGAAAGAAAAAAAAACAAGAUGUGUUGAAAUUUUUAAGGUUGAAUUUUGACUCACCGAUGCAGUUUAAUGGCAUCAUGAGCUCAACCUCUACCAAGCCAUCCAUGAUGAGGUCUCCAAACCACCACUCCUCAAGCAUACCGUUGUCGGAAGGGGACUUGUAGCAGUGGCGCGUGAAUAUGACGGGGAUGGUUGGGAAGAAUUGGAGCAAAACAAUAAUGAUGAAAAGAUAUAUUAACAAGAAUUACAAUGAAAAUCCCUGCAAGAUUGGACAGCUGCGAUUGUGACCUUAUUUGACCACAAUUCUCACCAAUUUCAAGGAUCGUGACCUUAUUUGACCGCAAUUCUCAACAAUUUCAAGGAUCGAUACACGACCAAAAUUUAUGUGAUUCACAAGAUAUGAAGCCAAAUGCAGAAUGUUAUAAUUACAACAUAUUUUUUCAAACCAAGCAUAAACAAUGAAAGAGAAAGGUCUCAUGCUAGCUUUUGGUGUGAUUGAGAACACCGACGUAAAGUCAAAAACUCGAUCCUAAAUAAAAAAAUAUGUUCUGAAACCUAACUACAAAGGACCAAUGUAGUGAUGUCAAACCAACAAACUUGAAAAUGUGUCUUUUGGGAUAAACUUGAAGUCCCACAUCGGAACUUUGGCAAAGAAAUGAGAGUUGAAGGGGCUAUAAAUGUAGCUUAGAAUGUAGUUGUCAUAUGUCUCAAAUCCAUGAAUAUUAUUCAUUCAUUCUAGUAUUUUCGGUAGAAUAUUUAGUUUUGGAAGGAUGAUGUAUGACAAAUGUGUAAACAAUUAAAAAUAAGUUGGUGUUUUUUGGGUCGUG
This 1535-nucleotide long non-coding RNA is filed under the name Medicago truncatula (barrel medic). Its description in RNAcentral is "lncRNA gene1911". Lineage: Eukaryota; Viridiplantae; Streptophyta; Magnoliopsida; Fabales; Fabaceae. The record is from RNAcentral.